AGUGAACGCUGGCGGUAGGCCUAACACAUGCAAGUCGAACGGCAGCACAGUAAGAGCUUGCUCUUACGGGUGGCGAGUGGCGGACGGGUGAGGAAUACAUCGGAAUCUACUUUUUCGUGGGGGAUAACGUAGGGAAACUUACGCUAAUACCGGAUACGACCUACGGGUGAAAGCAGGGGAUCUUCGGACCUUGCGCGAUUGAAUGAGCCGAUGUCGGAUUAGCUAGUUGGCGGGGUAAAGGCCCACCAAGGCGACGAUCCGUAGCUGGUCUGAGAGGAUGAUCGCCCACACGGGAGCGGAGACGGGGCCAGGCCCCCUAGGGGAGGCAGCAGUGGGGAAUUUUGGAAAGUGGGGCCAAGCUUGACCCAGCCGUCCCGGGUGGGAGAAAAAGGCUUUGGGUUUGUAAGGCCUUUUUGUGGGGAAAAAAAAGCAGCAGUUUAAUACCCCGCUUUUCUGACGGUACCAAAAAAAAAAGCACCGGCUAACUUCGUG
Molecule: ribosomal RNA, 492 nt
Filed under: uncultured bacterium
Lineage: Bacteria
Description: partial 16S ribosomal RNA
Rfam family: Bacterial small subunit ribosomal RNA
Source: RNAcentral